RNAcentral lists this ribosomal RNA (496 nucleotides) under uncultured bacterium. RNAcentral's name for it is "partial 16S ribosomal RNA". It matches the Rfam family "Bacterial small subunit ribosomal RNA", at positions 29 to 507 of the family's 1533-position model. The record is from RNAcentral.
AUGAACGCUGGCGGCGUGCCUAAUACAUGCAAGUCGAGCGAACAGACGAGGAGCUUGCUCCUCUGACGUUAGCGGCGGACGGGUGAGUAACACGUGGAUAACCUACCCAUAAGACUGGGAUAACUUCGGGAAACCGGAGCUAAUACCGGAUAAUAUAUUGAACCGCAUGGUUCCAUAGUGAAAGACGGUUUUGCUGUCACUUAUAGAUGGAUCCGCGCCGCAUUAGCUAGUUGGUAAGGUAACGGCUUACCAAGGCAACGAUGCGUAGCCGACCUGAGAGGGUGAUCGGCCACACUGGAACUGAGACACGGUCCAGACUCCUACGGGAGGCAGCAGUAGGGAAUCUUCCGCAAUGGGCGAAAGCCUGACGGAGCAACGCCGCGUGAGUGAUGAAGGUCUUCGGAUCGUAAAACUCUGUUAUUAGGGAAGAACAAAUGUGUAAGUAACUAUGCACGUCUUGACGGUACCUAAUCAGAAAGCCACGGCUAACUACGUG